UGUUUGAAUUAGCUGUGAUGUG
Molecule: microRNA, 22 nt
Filed under: Capitella teleta
Lineage: Eukaryota; Metazoa; Annelida; Polychaeta; Capitellidae
Description: cte-miR-2709
Source: miRBase by way of RNAcentral